Molecule: long non-coding RNA, 3214 nt
Organism: Equus asinus (donkey)
Lineage: Eukaryota; Metazoa; Chordata; Mammalia; Perissodactyla; Equidae
Source: Ensembl
GAUCCCUGCUGGGCCUUGGGGAGGAGCAGCUGCUUCCUCUCUUCCCUUCAUGAGAAGUGGGCCUCUCCUUCAUCUCAGGCACCAAUCUGCCACGCACAGCGCACUGAAUGGUGUGGUGAAUGGACAGGGCAACAGAAUGAGCUCUACUCCACGUGGACGUCUUUGGAACAGCACACAAGAGUGCCACACUGGUUGCUGAACCACAGCUGUGACUGCAGACUGAGGAGCCGGGGAGGGAAUGGAAGAUAAAGACUGGUAUGCAGUUUAGAAGUGGAGGACAUCCUUUGACAUGGCACUACAGCCAGGGAAGAUCAACCACUGGUAGUGGCAACAGGGGCUGGAAGACACCACGGUCAAGGCCUGUCUGGACCUGAGGACAUCUGAAGGGACAGAAGGACAAAUGCAAAUGACCAUGCAUGGGACUCAGCCCCCAUAGGGCGCUGGAGUUUCCGUCCCAGGAUCCCCUCUUCAGGGAUGCCUGUGUUUGUUGAUUAUCUGCCGUAUGCCUGGCCGCUUCAGAAUACAAGGAAUAAAAUGGCCUUUAGUAGUGGCUGAGACAGGACCCUGUGGGAUGUACAAUAAGGAGUCUAAGGCCACAGGAUGAGGCUUUCCUGACUCUGUCUCCUAGAGGGCUGGCGUUUUCUAAGGUUGCAAGCCUGUUUUAUUCAUCCUGAUUUCCCUAGCCUGGAAUAGGCCGUGGAUGACAGUUAAUAAACGUUUGUUGUGUGAGCAAGUGUGUAGAGUCUAUGCUGGAGAGAAUAAGGGCUCUUUAGGUCCCAGAGGCAGCCCACCAGGCUCCCUGCUUCUCUGGUCCAUCUCCAGACAGCCCAGCCAGCUAGAGCGGGCUUCCUCAGUGGGUAGCCAGGGCUCUUGCCCACUGGCAGCCCAUCGCCUGUUAAAGACGACCCUCCUUUUUCUUCUCCAAGCUAAAUAUCACCAGUUUCCACAACUCUUUGUUUUAUAGCCCUCAGCAUUCUGGUUAUCCACUCUGGAGAGGCAACAGAAGUAUCCAGUUGCAGUCUGAACAGGCAGAACCAUGGAUGCAGAUGGAAAAUCCAGGUUUGUGUGCUUCGGCAGUCUGUGUAUUCAAACCGUGAUUGUGACAGCUGCUGACAUGACCUCAGACACGCAGGAAGGUUUGGGUUUGCUGCUGAUCAUCUUUCUUUGGUGUUUUCACAGCCUUUACAUAGACGCUUUUUUGAUGUAAAACCCCACGCUGCAGUCCUUGUCAUCAGUGUUAUAUUUCUCCUCAACUCUCCUGGAGACUUCCUGAGAGCUGGCUUGUGGUAGGCACUCCACAGAUGUUAGCUCAUAUUAUUUGCUUAAUUGUUUUAUUAUUUGAAUGAACAAUCAUGAAUUCAGUGUCCUUUAUUGAGCAGGUGCUGUGUUUCUGGCACUGCUGGGUGCCGGAAUUUAGCAAUGAAGAGAAUCGGCCUGGCCCUGGCCCCCAGAGCCCACAGACACUCUGGGAAGACCUGUUGAUUGAAUGAUAAACCCUGGUUGAACUUAUUGUGAUCAGCUCCCCCACCACCAGACAUUUAUUGGGUGCUUUCUUUGUGUUCAACUUGGAACACACCCUCCCUGCCCUCCAGUGCUGGGAUGUGGGAGUUGUUGAGGACGACACCACUGAGGGUGAAAAAACACUGGACUUGGAACCAACUGACUCGAGAUCAGGUCCUAGCACUGCCACAAAUCCACUGUGUGGCCAUGGAUGAGUUCACUUGACCUCUCUGAGCCUCAGUUAUCUUAUCAGUGAAAUGGGGAUAACAAUACAUCCUACAGGGGCAAGAGAGGAUCAAAUAGGGUGACCACACAGCACAACUCCACCUGUUAGUCUAUGCAGCUGCUGGUGACCUGGGAUUAACUGAGAGCACUUUUGCUUUGUGGCCUGAAGUUAACAGUCACUAAAUGGUAGCUGUUGUUAUGCACAAAUUAGAGGGAAGCAGGGGUUACUUCAGGCUAGCACGCUGCACAGGAUUUGGCCAGGCUUUGUUCUUCGAGGAAGGGCAGGGUUCUGAGAAGUGCAGAUUGUGAUGUAGGCAAAUCCCAGGAGGCUGGGACUCCCAGGGCAGGUCUAGGGGAAGAAAACCUGGUGAGGGAGGGGGGUCUCAACCUCAAAGCCUGAAUAAGGACUUCUCUAGGAACAGAGAAGCCACUGGAAGCUGGAUGUGGAGCAAGGAUGGGUGAGACGAAGGUGAGUAUUUUAAUUAUUGAGAUGCAAAGGAUCCUAGAGAGCAUUUUGUCUGACCAGGCCAACAGAGGCCAGGGAGGGAAAGUAGUGAGUCUCCAAGGUCCCACAGCAAGGACCAGGGCCAAGCCUCCCACCUGUGCAGAACCCAGCUCAAAUGACUCCUCAAGCCCAGUUGUGGCCCCACAAAAGGAAGUCCCUAGCACUUUUCAUAUAUACAUAUAUAUAAUUGUUUUCUGACUGUAAAAUUAUGAGUCAUUGUAGAGCAGUUUUAAGUUAUAGAAAUAUAAACAAGAAAAUAUCACCUAUAAUCCCACCACCCAAAGAUAAUCACCAUUAGUAUUCUGAUGCAUUUCUCCCAGUAGGUAUUCCACAUAAAGCCAUACAUUAAGGGCUGGCCCCAUGGCCGAGUGGUUAAGUUCGCGUGCCCUGCUUCGGCGGCCCAGGGUUUCACUGGUUCGGAUCCUGGGUGUGGACAAGACACCGCUCAUCAGGCCACGCUGAGGCGGCGUCCUGCAUGCCACAACUAGAAGGAUCCACAACUAAAAAUACACAACUAUGUACUAGGGGGCUUUGGGGAGAAAAAGGAAAAACAAAAUCAUAUAUAUUCAUUAGAUUGGAAUUGUAUUGUGUAUAGUUCCAUGUUCCACCUUUUUUGUGUGAAAUUGUAAGUGUUUUGUGAGAAGGAGGGACUGUUUUUAAUGCAAAAGAAACUCUAGAAAACUUUUUCCUUAGGAAAAAAAAAAGCACAAAGCCCAGUCUGUGGUGGUUGGGAGGACAUCCUGAGGGCUGCCGGUCCGUCCGUCCGGUGUGAGCUCCAAGGCUGUGGCUCAGAGAAAGACAAGCCUUUCUCGCCUCUCCUGGCCAGGCUGCAGCCUCCUGCCUGUGGGCAAGACCGAGUUGCUGAGUCUGCACUCACCCUUCCUUCCUCAGCACAGGAUGUGUGAUCAUCCACUCCAUCCAAAGGCAGAUGGGGUUGUGGUCGUUAUUGUUUAUUAAUAACAAGGGCAUCUCAGUCUGUGCAGC